This 426-nucleotide ribosomal RNA is filed under the name uncultured bacterium. RNAcentral's name for it is "bacterial SSU rRNA". It matches the Rfam family "Bacterial small subunit ribosomal RNA", at positions 505 to 930 of the family's 1533-position model. The record is from RNAcentral.
GUGCCAGCAGCCGCGGUAAAACGGAGGGUGCUAACGUUGCUCGGAAUUACUGGGCGUAAAGCGCAUGCAGGCGGAUUGUUAAGUUUCGUGUGAAAGCCCUGGGCUCAACCCGGGAAGUGCACGGAAAACUGGCAGACUAGAGUACUGGAGAAGUGGGCGGAAUUCCCGGUGUAGAGGUGAAAUUCGUAGAUAUCGGGAGGAACACCAGUAGCGAAAGCGGCUCACUAGACAGAUACUGACGCUCAGAUGCGAAAGCGUGGGUAGCAAACAGGAUUAGAUACCCUGGUAGUCCACGCCGUAAACGAUGGGCACUAGGUGUCGGAGGUUUGACCCCUUCGGCGCCGUAGCUAACGCGUUAAGUGCCCCGCCUGGGGAGUACGGUCGCAAGAUUAAAACUCAAAGAAAUUGACGGGGGCCCGCACAAGC